Molecule: ribosomal RNA, 173 nt
Filed under: Escherichia coli
Lineage: Bacteria; Pseudomonadati; Pseudomonadota; Gammaproteobacteria; Enterobacterales; Enterobacteriaceae
Also listed under: 1 other name
Description: partial 16S ribosomal RNA
Rfam family: Bacterial small subunit ribosomal RNA
Source: RNAcentral
CCCGGGCCUUGUACACACCGCCCGUCACACCAUGGGAGUGGGUUGCAAAAGAAGUAGGUAGCUUAACCUUCGGGAGGGCGCUUACCACUUUGUGAUUCAUGACUGGGGUGAAGUCGUAACAAGGUAACCGUAGGGGAACCUGCGGUUGGAUCACCUCCUUACCUUAAAGAAGC